AGUGAACGCUGGCGGUAGGCCUAACACAUGCAAGUCGAACGGCAGCGCCGUAAGAGCUUGCUCUUACGGGUGGCGCGUGGCGGACGGGUGAGGAAUACAUCGGAAUCUACUUUUUCGUGUGGGCUAACGUCGGGAAACUUACGCUAGUACCGCAUACGACCUCCGUGUGACAGCACGCGAUCUUUGGACCUUUCGCGAUUGUAUGAGCCGAUGUCGGAUUCGCUAGUUGGCGGGGUAAAGGGCCACCAAGGCGACGCUGCGUAGCUGGUAUGAGAGGGUGGUCAGCCACACUGGAACUGAGACACGGUCCAGACUCCGACGGGGGGCAGCAGUGGGGAAUAUUGGGCAAUGGGGGCAAGCCUGAUCCAGCGAUACCGCGUGGGUGAUGAAGGCCUUCGGGUUGUAAAACCCUGUUGUUGGGAAAGAAAAGCAGUAGGUUCAGACCCGGCUGUUCUGACGGUACCCAAAGAAUAAGCACCGGCUAACUUCGUG
This 492-nucleotide ribosomal RNA is filed under the name uncultured bacterium. Its description in RNAcentral is "partial 16S ribosomal RNA". It matches the Rfam family "Bacterial small subunit ribosomal RNA", at positions 29 to 507 of the family's 1533-position model. The record is from RNAcentral.